RNAcentral lists this long non-coding RNA (2164 nucleotides) under Mytilus galloprovincialis (Mediterranean mussel). Lineage: Eukaryota; Metazoa; Mollusca; Bivalvia; Mytilida; Mytilidae. The record is from RNAcentral.
AGGUUGUCAGCAAGAUGAAAAGGACAAGUAUGCAGUUCAAAAUUCAAAAUGUGGAUAAGUUACCUUUGCAGAUUUUCAUACUUUGCAUGAAUGAAUUCAAAGGUUAUAUGAUGGACAGCAGAGAAAGAAAAAAACAACUUUUCAAUUAUCCUGCUCCUGGAUAAAUGUAAAACAUCUUGUUCUUCUGUAAGUUUUAUGCUCUGUUUUGAUAGUGUUAGUGCAUUCAUCUUUCCAGUCUUUCCUCUAAAUUGUAAGUUUUUGGUGAGUGUUCACCAUGAAUUUCAGUAAGUAACUGGUGGAUUUACAUGUAUAUACUCAAAAUUUAGUACUAAUAUUAAUGGGAUUUUAGCAUGACAUCCUGCCAAAUGCUUAUUAAUCAUGUUUAUGUUCCAGAACAUACAAGUAUUUGGACUGUACGCAUACAGUCUGCNUAGUGUUAGUGCAUUCAUCUUUCCAGUCUUUCCUCUAAAUUGUAAGUUUUUGGUGAGUGUUCACCAUGAAUUUCAGUAAGUAACUUGUGGAUUUACAUGUAUAUACUCAAAAUUUAGUACUAAUAUUAAUGGGAUUUUAGCAUGACAUCCUGUCAAAUGCUUGUUAAUCAUGUUUAUGUUCCAGAACAUACAAGUAUUUGGACUGUACGCAUACAGUCUGCCCAAUUUUAAGAAGUUGGUCAAGUUUAUUACAAACAAAUGUACAGUACAGAUCAACAUAACUGAAAUCUUUAAUAGAUUAAUACAAAAUGUUUAAUUGCAGUUAAAAUAAAAACACAGGUUUGGUCGAGCUGGUACAGACAGUACAAGUAUACUUAAAUGGUCUGACUGUAUGCACAUAUGGGGGACUGUGAGGUAUACUGUAAGUUCUGGACCGUAAAAGUAAGAUCCGAAUACUGAUAUGGUCUGGAACAUUUAUACAUGUCUUAAAAUUAAUAUCAAACACAUUGGUGUUUUUGAACUUGGUAAUAAGUUAUUUGAUAGAACUAUAAUGUUUUGGGAUAUCAAAAUCAAAAAUAUCCCAUUUUUACUUUUUAUAAAGAAGAAGAUUAUUGAUGUAUGUUUAAAUGUAUAUCAAAAUGAGACAGCAAGCCAACAACACCAUGAACACAAAAAAUAAGGAUAAAACAUACAUAUUUUUUUUGUAUCAAUGUUAUAAUUUCCAAUAUGUUCAAAGAGUUCAAGGUAUUUUUUCAUUGAAAUAAAACACAAGUUGAAAUCUGUCUGAACUUCAAAAGCUUAAAGAAAUAUUGUUUCUGUUGUCUGCGUUUUGUAUAAUAUAUUGCAAAUUCUUGUGAAUAAUGGAAUGUUAUUAUAGUUGUCUAAAGUUUUAACAUUGAUCUUUAUACUGUAAAUUCAUAAAUUAUUGCGUGCAUUUAUUAUUGCGAUUCUGUCAUUUUAGACUUAAAUGCGAUUUUAAAUUUUACGCUUUUGAGAAAAAUCCUGUUUAAUCCAUAUAAAAUAUUUCAUAAUGCGAGUUUAAAUUAUUGCAUUUACAACUCUGUUGCAUUUUUCGCAACAACAAAAAACUCGCAUUAAUUCCGAAUUUAUAGUAUAUAUAAAUAUCAUGUAUAUAACUUGGGAAAAUACCCAAAUGUUAUAAAGAAGAAUAAAUUAAUUGAUUGGUAUAUGGUAUUAGAAUAGGAAGAUGUGGUAUAUUGCUAAUUUGACAACCCUCCAUCAGAGACCAAAGGAUGUAGGCCGUUAGCAACUGAUGACACUGGACAACCUUUAACAAUCAGUAAAAUCCAUACCGCAUAGCUAUUUUUAUUGAAAAUCAUAUUAUUGCUACAUGUACGAAAACAAUUUUGUAUAAUCCCUUACUUUAGAUUUUAUUGGUUCUUUUUCAGAAGGAUUGAAAUUCACCACCUGGAAUACAUGGAGAAAACAUAGAAACAAGACCAGAAUAAAUUCAAAGACAAAAGUUGGAUCAGUUAUUAUUUUCAUCACUCUGUCAAUGAUUUGAAGUUCUUUUAAAUUCAAAAAAAUAUUGAAACCGCAAUAAUGUCAAAGUUUUGUGCUGAAUGUCUAAAAAGUGGACUAUACCAUCAAACAAUGCUGGAUGAUUAGAAAAUAUUAAUGUUUUGUGUUGAGGGAUAUUGUGAAAAAAAUAGAUUUACUUAAAUAGAUACUAGUAUGUUAAGCCUAACAAUAGAGUUUUUAUUGAUUUCAAA